AACGAACGCUGGCGGCAUGCCUAACACAUGCAAGUCGAACGAGACCUUCGGGUCUAGUGGCGCACGGGUGCGUAACGCGUGGGAACCUGCCCUUAGGUUCGGAAUAACUCCCCGAAAGGGGUGCUAAUACCGGAUAAUGUCUUCGGACCAAAGAUUUAUCGCCUUUGGAUGGGCCCGCGUUGGAUUAGCUAGUUGGUAGGGUAAAAGCCUACCAAGGCGACGAUCCAUAGCUGGUCUGAGAGGAUGAUCAGCCACACUGGGACUGAGACACGGCCCAGACUCCUACGGGAGGCAGCAGUGGGGAAUAUUGGACAAUGGGCGAAAGCCUGAUCCAGCAAUGCCGCGUGAGUGAUGAAGGCCUUAGAGUUGUAAAGCUCUUUUACCCGGGAUGAUAAUGACAGUACCGGGAGAAUAAGCCCCGGCUAACUCCGUG
Molecule: ribosomal RNA, 433 nt
Filed under: uncultured bacterium
Lineage: Bacteria
Description: partial 16S ribosomal RNA
Rfam family: Bacterial small subunit ribosomal RNA
Source: RNAcentral